GAUGAACGCUGGCGGCGCGCCUAACACAUGCAAGUCGAACGGUUAAAGCACCUUCGGGUGUGUAUAAAGUGGCGAACGGCUGAGUAACACGUGGGCAACCUGCCCCUCGCACCGGGAUAGCCUCGGGAAACCGUGGUUAAUACCGGAUACCCCGGGGCGCCGCAUGGCGCCCCGGCUAAAGCCCCGACGGGAGGGGAUGGCUCCGCGGCCCAUCAGGUAGACGGCGGGGUGACGGCCCACCGUGCCGACAACGGGUAGCCGGGUUGAGAGACCGACCGGCCAGAUUGGGACUGAGACACGGCCCAG
Molecule: ribosomal RNA, 306 nt
Filed under: uncultured bacterium
Lineage: Bacteria
Description: bacterial SSU rRNA
Rfam family: Bacterial small subunit ribosomal RNA
Source: RNAcentral